This 561-nucleotide ribosomal RNA is filed under the name Suhomyces pyralidae. RNAcentral's name for it is "eukaryotic LSU rRNA". It matches the Rfam family "Eukaryotic large subunit ribosomal RNA", at positions 62 to 648 of the family's 3401-position model. The record is from RNAcentral. Lineage: Eukaryota; Fungi; Ascomycota; Pichiomycetes; Serinales; Debaryomycetaceae.
AAACCAACCGGGAUUGCCUCAGUAACGGCGAGUGAAGCGGCAAAAGCUCAAAUUUGAAAUCUGGCUCCUUCGGGGUCCGAGUUGUAAUUUGAAGAAGCGACUUUGGUGUGGGCUCUUGUCUAUGUUCCUUGGAACAGGACGUCACAGAGGGUGAGAAUCCCGUGCGAUGAGAAGCCCAUUGCCGUGUAAAGCGUUUUCGACGAGUCGAGUUGUUUGGGAAUGCAGCUCUAAGUGGGUGGUAAAUUCCAUCUAAAGCUAAAUAUUGGCGAGAGACCGAUAGCGAACAAGUACAGUGAUGGAAAGAUGAAAAGAACUUUGAAAAGAGAGUGAAAAAGUACGUGAAAUUGUUGAAAGGGAAGGGCUUGAGAUCAGACUUUGUUUUUCCAUGGUGUUCUUUCGGGGAUGCCCUCUGGGUCUACAGGGCCAGCAUGGGUUCUGCGGGCGAGACAAUAGCGCAGGAAUGUGGCUCUGCUUCGGUGGAGUGUUAUAGCCUGUGCAGAUGUCGCCACGCGGGACCGAGGACUGCGGUACUAGGAUGCUGGCAUAAUGAUCUUAAGCCGC